RNAcentral lists this ribosomal RNA (253 nucleotides) under uncultured bacterium. Its description in RNAcentral is "partial 16S ribosomal RNA". It matches the Rfam family "Bacterial small subunit ribosomal RNA", at positions 524 to 776 of the family's 1533-position model. The record is from RNAcentral.
AACGUAGGUGGCGAGCGUUAUCCGGAUUUACUGGGCGUAAAGCGUGUGCAGGUGGCCUGUUAAGUGGUGUAUGAAAUCGCCCGGCUCAACCGGGCGGGGUUAUGCCAGACUGGCAGGCUAGAGGGUGGGAGAGGGAUGUGGAAUUCCGGGUGUAGCGGUGGAAUGCGCAGAUAUCAGGAGGAACACCAAUAGCGAAGGCAGCUCGCUGGGACGGUACUGACGCUAAGGCGCGAAAGCGUGGGGAGCGAACAGG